This 292-nucleotide ribosomal RNA is filed under the name uncultured bacterium. Its description in RNAcentral is "partial 16S ribosomal RNA". It matches the Rfam family "Bacterial small subunit ribosomal RNA", at positions 505 to 796 of the family's 1533-position model. The record is from RNAcentral.
GUGCCAGCAGCCGCGGUAAUACAGAGGGUGCUAGCGUUGUUCGGAAUUAUUGGGCGUAAAGCGCGUGUAGGCGGCUGGCCAAGUCGGAUGUGAAAGCCCUCGGCUUAACCGAGGAAGUGCGUUCGAUACUAGCUAGCUCGAGUACCGGAGAGGGUGGCGGAAUUCCCGGUGUAGAGGUGAAAUUCGUAGAUAUCGGGAGGAACACCAGCGGCGAAGGCGGCCACCUGGACGGAUACUGACGCUGAGACGCGAAAGCGUGGGGAGCAAACAGGAUUAGAUACCCUUGUAGUCC